AUUGAACGCUGGCGGCAGGCCUAACACAUGCAAGUCGAACGGUAGCACAGGAGAGCUUGCUCUCUGGGUGACGAGUGGCGGACGGGUGAGUAAUGCAUGGGGAGCUGCCCAAUCGAGGGGGAUACCAGCUGGAAACGGCUGCUAAUACCGCAUACGCCCUGAGGGGGAAAGGUGGGGACCUUCGGGCCUACCGCGAUUGGAUGCACCCAUGUGGGAUUAGCUAGUUGGUGAGGUAACGGCUCACCAAGGCGACGAUCUCUAGCUGGUCUGAGAGGAUGACCAGCCACACUGGAACUGAGACACGGUCCAGACUCCUACGGGAGGCAGCAGUGGGGAAUAUUGCACAAAUGGGGGAAACCCUGAUGCAGCCAUGCCGGCGUGUGUGAAGAAAGGCCUGGUGUAAG
RNAcentral lists this ribosomal RNA (404 nucleotides) under uncultured bacterium. Its description in RNAcentral is "bacterial SSU rRNA". It matches the Rfam family "Bacterial small subunit ribosomal RNA", at positions 29 to 429 of the family's 1533-position model. The record is from RNAcentral.